This 1892-nucleotide long non-coding RNA is filed under the name Chrysemys picta bellii (western painted turtle). Its description in RNAcentral is "lncRNA (ENSCPBG00000008031.1)". Lineage: Eukaryota; Metazoa; Chordata; Testudines; Emydidae. The record is from RNAcentral.
CGUCCAAAUCCUCAAUUUAACCCUUAGUGUGCUGAUACUUCCAAUUAGAGUACAGAAAACUACAAAAUGUGAUACACCCUAAAGACAGACGAUUUAGUGAGCAAUCUCUGCCUCUUGUAUCUUCAGAUCUCUGAUGCUCUUUAUUUAGUUGCUCAAAAAGAAAAGUGUGGUUGUUUGCUAAUGCACUGGAGUUAGCUGUAUUUGAAGUCCUUCCUCAGAGUAUACAAGUCUGCAGUAAUAGCAUAUGGGCUUUGGAACAUAAUUGAAGCAUCCAGGACUGCAUCUAUUCUCAUAAUCUGCAUCAGUACAUAAAUGUCAGGUCCUACCACCUACUGUCUAAGAAUACAAGUGUUCUAAAGCUUCCCCUAUUAUUUAAUAAAAUAGGUACAUAGAGGAGCAUUAGAGAGACCCUUUAUGUAACUUUAACAGAUUAUACUGGGCUGUUUGACGAGUGCUUAAGGGCACUUCCUAAGAUGUGCUAUGUACUCAACCUCAGAAAUUUAAAAAUAAUGAAAGAAACAACAUGAACUGUCACUUUAAUGCAUUGGAAGAUUUCUGACCUAGUUACCUAAGUUACUUCCUCUAAAGACUUUAAUGUCCUCUUUUUCUUUUUCUUUUUCUUUUUUUAAAUGCAGGUUGAUAUGAAGAUAUACAUUCUGAAAUACUGAAGCAGAAGAAGAGCUCCACCAGAAGCAUGAAUGAUACACAGUUUCAAUCUGGUUCAUUUCGAGCAGUUUGAGUGUGGUGCCGUGAGAGAUGCUGUUGUCCAUGACAGGAUGGGAUUAUUAUGAUCAAAUACUCUAUUUUGACUUCACCCAGUGGCCAAGAGCUUCAUAUGGUAGACAGCCAAGGACUGGACUUUUACUAAUAGUGUAACAGGUGGGCUGCCUGCUGUGGCUGAGGAACUCCACCUGCCAGAGAUACAGAGCGGCAAAGUGACUUAUCCAAGGUUAUCCCACAGGUCCAUGGCAGAUCCAAGGAUAGAAUCCAGGUGCCCUGAGUCUCAGUCCUGCAUCCUCUGUAUUGGACCACACUGUCUCUCCCCCUUUGUUGUUGGGGGAAAAUGUAGACAGAUAAAAUAAUGAUAAAUGUCAAAACAAAGAUAUCAAGAAAACUGCUUUGUUAGGUAAAAACAUAUAGCUCACUUUGUUAAAGGUACCGAGAUGUGAUUUGAACAAAUUAAGCUAUUCUAAUGUCUGUAAAUGUUUUAAAUAAUGUAUCGUUUACCCGUGGAACUCAUUGCCACGAGGUGUCAUUGAGGCCAGGAGCUUAGUGGUAUUCAAUAACAGGAUUAGGCAAAUAUAUCGAUAACAGGAAAAUGCACAGUUACAUUAGAAAAGAGCGUUGUAAAAUUGAGGAUAUAAAUCUUCAUGUUUCAGGGGACAGACCAAAUACUAAGUACAUGUGGUUAAGAAGAAAAGUUAUCUGAAAGGCAAGUUUUUUUCCAUAAUUGAGCAUUCCUCUGAAGCAUCUGGUACUGGUCACUGUCACAGACAGAAUACUGCACUGGAUGGCCACUGGGUCUGCUCCCAUGUGGCACUUCUUAUGUUCUUGUGCAUAGCACUGAAACGUUUCUAUGUAGCAGAAACCUCCAAACAUCACAGAUAGCACAUACCCUAAAACAUCUGCUUGGUGAUGUUUCAGGGGUGCUUUGAAAUGCUAUAAGAGUUCUGCCCCCAUUAAAAUGAUCCAGUUUUUGUGAGCUUAUGCUUUCCCAUAUAGCUGGCAUUUUUCAAGAUUGAAUUAUUUAGCAUACCAUCAGCAGUCUGAAUUAAUUCCUAAAGAUACAGGCCCAUUGCUUUCAUCCUGAAAACUGAACUGAAGAAACAGCAUGUCAGAACAUAUGGCCCUACAGAAUUUGAAGGUCGUAUUAUUUAUGAAGAUAGCCACAA